AUCAUAUAUGGGUAAAAUAUGGGAAACCAUGUGACACAAAACUACAGGGGCUUUAAACUGCCAGCCAGUUGCAUAA
This 76-nucleotide non-coding RNA is filed under the name Lachnospira pectinoschiza. RNAcentral describes it as "GEMM cis-regulatory element". It matches the Rfam family "c-di-GMP-I riboswitch aptamer". From Rfam's summary of the family: GEMM was predicted in a large-scale screen for bacterial structured RNA regulatory elements. Genes associated with GEMM are involved in a diverse array of functions, including chemotaxis regulation, signal transduction, secretion and chitin. Lineage: Bacteria; Bacillati; Bacillota; Clostridia; Lachnospirales; Lachnospiraceae. The record is from RNAcentral.